AAAUUGAAGAGUUUGAUCAUGGCUCAGAUUGAACGCUGGCGGCAGGCCUAACACAUGCAAGUCGAACGGUAACAGGAAGCAGCUUGCUGUUUCGCUGACGAGUGGCGGACGGGUGAGUAAUGUCUGGGAAACUGCCUGAUGGAGGGGGAUAACUACUGGAAACGGUAGCUAAUACCGCAUAACGUCGCAAGACCAAAGAGGGGGACUUUCGGGCCUCUUGCCAUCGGAUGUGCCCAGAUGGGAUUAGCUAGUAGGUGGGGUAA
RNAcentral lists this ribosomal RNA (263 nucleotides) under Escherichia coli. RNAcentral describes it as "partial 16S ribosomal RNA". It matches the Rfam family "Bacterial small subunit ribosomal RNA", at positions 1 to 260 of the family's 1533-position model. Lineage: Bacteria; Pseudomonadati; Pseudomonadota; Gammaproteobacteria; Enterobacterales; Enterobacteriaceae. The record is from RNAcentral.